This 314-nucleotide unclassified non-coding RNA is filed under the name fungal sp. RNAcentral's name for it is "partial internal transcribed spacer region". The stretch from base 1 to 46 matches the Rfam family "Eukaryotic small subunit ribosomal RNA", at positions 1786 to 1831 of the family's 1831-position model. Lineage: Eukaryota; Fungi. The record is from RNAcentral. RNAcentral also lists the same sequence under 1 other name.
AAGUCGUAACAAGGUUUCCGUAGGUGAACCUGCGGAAGGAUCAUUAACACUCCAAAACUUCUUCAAGGACUCUGAAAAGGGUCCAUGAUGAAACCCUAUUAACCAUUAGCGAACCUAGGCCGGGUGACAGUUGGUCACCUAGCGACACUUUCGUCUUUUUUUUAAUUUUAUUUUAACCCAACACAUUUCUUUUUUUUCGUCUGACUGGAAGAUCUCGGUCUUCCGUUGCUCUCUCUCUUAACCCAGAGAGGCAAUGAAAACUACCAAAACAAAAAACAAAAAAACAACUCUUAGCAACGGAUAUCUUGGUUCUC